CAAUCGAGGUCGCUCCUCUUUCAUCACUCUUCGUCUCCUCCAAACUCAUAGGUAACCGUUUGAAGCUCUCUGUAAGGUCGUCCGUUUCUGUAAUACAUUUCUUUAGUUCUCAUCAUUUAUUUCGAACCCACUACUAAUCCCACUCUAUCUGAAUUAAAUAUCGUAAUUAUCAUCAAAGGUAACCGUUUGAAGCUCUCUGUAUAAAUGGCUUCCUUCUCUGCGAUGAAUAGCCACAAUUCUAGGAGAUCCCUAAGAAAAACUUCAUCAAGCUUCGAUUCCAGUAAUGACUACUUUUUGCAUGCUUCUUCGAUUUUGGGAGGCUCCGAACGUCAAGAAAGGGGGCGAACUGAUGAGUGUCAACAUACUCUUCCUGGAUAAGACGGCGCUUGAUGUGAAAAGAGGGUGAGCUCACCUUUCCAGCUUCUUGAUGUUGUCUGUGUGAUAAGCUUCUACAAUCGUUUUAACUCACACUCAUAACAAGCACUCUCUUAUUGGUUUUGUUCACCUCUCUUCCAAGGUUCGUCCAUCCCUGGAACACAUUCAAUCACCUUCGUUACUAGCAUUAACCAAUUUGCGGUAGGUUGCCCUCCGUUCCAAGAAAAAGAUUGUCAGUGAUAGUUUUUACCGUGCACUGUAUCUAAACUUAUACUUCCCUGCCAUGAAUUCUUCCAAGGCAAGCUAAAUUUUAAAGCUUCUGCUUUCCUAUGUUUCCGUCACGUCGUUUUACUUUUAGUUCAUCACUGUCUUAUUAGAAUUUGGUGGAUUGCAGAGUUGGUUUUACAGUGUUGGCGUAUACUCCUUUAGUGAUCUUGAUUAGUAACGUAACACAUAAAGAGUGACAGUGUCAAAUCACUGUAAUGAUUAUUUGCCUGUUAUCUCUAAAUUAAGAUUAAUUUUAAAUACUUGACUAUGCAAGUUGAAGGAACAGCGUCUGUUUGAGGAGGAGAUAGCAAAAGCGAAAGAGGCAAAAGAGAGGAAGAAGUGGAGAGAAGAAAGCUACAAAGUAGGAAAAGGAGAAGUCAACUAUAUAGGCUCAGAAUGAAGCUAAAGACGAACCAGCUCUUUUCAUCUUAUAUUGUUUUAUUUUUUUUCAUGAUUUUUUAUUUGUGUUCUUUUUCUUGAGUUCCUUUCAUAAGGCUUGAUAGAUUUAGAUUUGGCAGUGAUAUAAAUUUAAUGGGGGUCUUCCUACCAUCAUUUCGAACGUGUGUACAUUUAUUUACUCCUUACAACUAAUUAACAAAGCUACUGGCUA
This is a long non-coding RNA of Raphanus sativus (radish), 1252 nucleotides long. RefSeq lists it as uncharacterized. The transcript has 2 exons. The record is from RefSeq and is a predicted model, not a curated record. Lineage: Eukaryota; Viridiplantae; Streptophyta; Magnoliopsida; Brassicales; Brassicaceae.